This 441-nucleotide ribosomal RNA is filed under the name uncultured bacterium. Its description in RNAcentral is "partial 16S ribosomal RNA". It matches the Rfam family "Bacterial small subunit ribosomal RNA", at positions 338 to 795 of the family's 1533-position model. The record is from RNAcentral.
CCUACGGGAGGCAGCAGUGGGGAAUAUUGCACAAUGGGCGAAAGCCUGAUGCAGCAACGCCGCGUGAAGGAAGAAGGCCUUCGGGUCGUAAACUUCUGUCCUUGGGGAAGAAGAACUGACGGUACCCAAGGAGGAAGCCCCGGCUAACUACGUGCCAGCAGCCUCGGUAAUACGUAGGGGGCAAGCGUUAUCCGGAAUUAUUGGGCGUAAAGAGUACGUAGGUGGCAACCUAAGUCCAGGGUUUAAGGCAGUGGCUCAACCAUUGUUCGCCCUGGAUACUGGGAUGCUUGAGUGGAGGAGAGGAAAGCGGAAUUCCUGGUGUAGCGGUGAAAUGCGUAGAUAUAAGGAAGAACACCAGUGGCGAAGGCAGCUUUCUGGAUUGUUACUGACACUGAGGUACGAAAGCGUGGGGAGCAAACAGGAUUAGAUACCCGAGUAGUC